RNAcentral lists this ribosomal RNA (407 nucleotides) under uncultured bacterium. Its description in RNAcentral is "partial 16S ribosomal RNA". It matches the Rfam family "Bacterial small subunit ribosomal RNA", at positions 30 to 526 of the family's 1533-position model. The record is from RNAcentral.
AUUGAACGCUAGCGGGAUGCUUUACACAUGCAAGUCGAACGGAGUGGCGGACGGGUGAGUAAUAUAUCGGAACGUGCCUAGUAGCGGGGGAUAACUAAUCGAAAGAGUGGAUACUACCGCAUACAAUUGGAGAGGCCGAUAUGGGAUUAGCGAGGUGGGGGGGGAAAGGCUCACCAAGGCAACGGUCCGUAGCUGUGUUGAGAGGAAGACCAGCCACACUGGGACGGAGACACGUUCCAGACUCCUACGGUAGGCAGCAGUGGGGAAUUUUGGACAAUGGGGGAAACCCUGAUCCAGCCAUCCCGCGGGUAUGAAGAAGGCCUUCGGGUUGUAAAGCACUUUUGGCAAAGAAGCGUUAUCUGCAGAAGAAGCACCGGCUAACUACGUGCCAGCCGCCGCGGUAAUAC